GGACCCGACUGCUAUCAGAGUGGGACUAAGCCAUGCGAGUCAACGCCGCAAGGCGUGGCAUACGGCUCAGUAACACGUAGUCAACAUGCCCAAAGGACGUGGAUAACCUCGGGAAACUGAGGAUAAACCGCGAUAGGCCAAGGUUUCUGGAAUGAGCCAUGGCCGAAAUCUAUACGGCCUUUGGAUAGGACUGCGGCCGAUCAGGCUGUUGGUGAGGUAAUGGCCCACCAAACCUGUUACCGGUACGGGCUUUGAGAGAAGGAGCCCGGAGAUGGGCACUGAGACAAGGGCCCAGGCCCUAUGGGGCGCAGCAGGCGCGAAACCUCUGCAAUAGGCGAAAGCCUGACAGGGUUACUCUGAGUGAUGCCCGCUAAGGGUAUCUUUUGGCACCUCUAAAAAUGGUGCAGAAUAAGGGGUGGGC
This 421-nucleotide ribosomal RNA is filed under the name uncultured archaeon. RNAcentral's name for it is "bacterial SSU rRNA". It matches the Rfam family "Archaeal small subunit ribosomal RNA", at positions 19 to 447 of the family's 1478-position model. The record is from RNAcentral.